ACAGUGGACGCGAGCAUCUGUGGCCAAGUUUUUAAGGGCGCACGGUGGAUGCCUU
RNAcentral lists this ribosomal RNA (55 nucleotides) under Streptomyces sp. NRRL B-3648. RNAcentral's name for it is "partial 23S ribosomal RNA". The record is from RNAcentral. Lineage: Bacteria; Bacillati; Actinomycetota; Actinomycetes; Kitasatosporales; Streptomycetaceae. RNAcentral also lists the same sequence under 1 other name.